GAGACACCCUUCUGGGCUAGACUUGCUUCGAUGGGGCUUUGGUGCUCACUGAGUCUGCCCCCUGAGUGUGUCUUU
RNAcentral lists this microRNA precursor (75 nucleotides) under Myotis lucifugus (little brown bat). Its description in RNAcentral is "mir-9229 microRNA precursor family". It matches the Rfam family "mir-9229 microRNA precursor family". Lineage: Eukaryota; Metazoa; Chordata; Mammalia; Chiroptera; Vespertilionidae. The record is from Rfam by way of RNAcentral.